AAUGGCUGCAGUAAUUUGACUGUACAAAGGUAGCAUAAUCAUUAGUUUUUUAAUUAAAAGCUUGUAUGAAGGGUUGGACGAAAUAAAAUCUGUCUCUUUUUAAUAUAAUUAGAAUUUAAUUUUUAAGUUAAAAAGCUUAAAUUUUUUUAAAAGACGAGAAGACCCUAUAGAGUUUUAUAAUUUUGAUUUAUUAAUUAAUUUAGAUUUAUUAAUUUUAUUAUUUUUAAAUUAUUUUAUUGGGGUAAUAGAAAGAUUGAAAAAAUUCUUUUUUAUAUAAAUCAUUAAUAUAUGAAAAUUUUUUGAUCCAUAAAAUUUUGAAUAUAAGAUUAAAUUACCUUAGGGAUAACAGCGUAAUUUUUUUUAAGAGUUCAUAUCGAUAAAAAAGUUUGCGACCUCGAUGUUGGAUUAAAGAUUAAUUUAGGUGUAGAAGUUUAAAUUUUUGGUCUGUUCGACCAUUGAAUCUUUACAUGAUCUGAGUUCAAACCGGUGUAAGCCAGGUUGGUUUCUAUCUUUAUAAAAUUUUUAUAUUUUAGUACGAAAGGACCAAAUAUAUUAUAUAUUAAUAUUUAAAUUAUUGAAUAUU
RNAcentral lists this ribosomal RNA (583 nucleotides) under Trechus aurouxi. Its description in RNAcentral is "partial 16S ribosomal RNA". The stretch from base 342 to 500 matches the Rfam family "Bacterial large subunit ribosomal RNA", at positions 2473 to 2632 of the family's 2925-position model. Lineage: Eukaryota; Metazoa; Arthropoda; Insecta; Coleoptera; Carabidae. The record is from RNAcentral.